This 413-nucleotide long non-coding RNA is filed under the name Homo sapiens (human). RNAcentral describes it as "HSALNT0146887". Lineage: Eukaryota; Metazoa; Chordata; Mammalia; Primates; Hominidae. The record is from RNAcentral.
AAAAGUGGUAUGUCGCAAUAGCCAGGUGAGAGUUCACUUGAGGAUGUGAACUGGAUGAACAAGUGGAUUUAUCAAGGCUUUUAGUUAGUGGAGGGGUGAGAGGAGGACAUGGCAGAUUUCUAAAAGGAGAAAGAUGAAAACAAAACUUGUGGAUUAGGGAAACUCAGGGAUAUGAUUUAAUGAAGAUGAUGUUUAGGCAGAUUAGUCAGGUGGCAGACUGCAGAAUGAACGGAUUAGAGAAGAGAAUUGAGAGGCUAGAAACAGUUAAGAAGCUACUUCAGAAAAUGUACCAUCAAAAAAAGGGCAAUUAACUCUCAGUGCUGUGUGUGGAAGGAGCCAGGCUUUCAUCCAAACCUAGACGGUGCACAUUUUCAACAUGGAAAACAUUAGGGAAGGCUUUAUGGUGGUGGUAA